RNAcentral lists this ribosomal RNA (537 nucleotides) under Triticum aestivum (bread wheat). RNAcentral describes it as "partial small subunit ribosomal RNA". The record is from RNAcentral. Lineage: Eukaryota; Viridiplantae; Streptophyta; Magnoliopsida; Poales; Poaceae.
CAGAGUGCUUUCUUAAGGGGAAGAAGUAUUCAAGAGAAUUUUCUUUAUGUCCAAAACCUCAUACAGAAUCUACACCUUGCAAAGAAACCCACCUUAUUCCUGAAGCUAGAUAUUGCAAAAGCUUUCGAUUCGGUCAAGUGGGAUUAUCUUCUCGAUGUUUUGAAGCAUGUGGGAUUCAACCAGAGAUUCCGAGAUCUGAUAGCUAUCUCACUUGCCUCUACCUCUUCGCGGAUCAUCCUAAAUGGUGCUCCUGGUACACCUUUUCUGCAUCGCCAAGGCCUGAGAUAGGGUGACCCGCUUUCGCCGUUGCUGUUCUUGCUAGCCAUCGAUCCACUACAGAGAAUUCUUGACAAAGCUAUGGAGGAACAUAUUCUCAGCCCAAUCAACCAUCACACUGCAUCUGUCAGAAUCAGCCUUUACGCAGACGACGCUGCCCUGUUCGUGAACCCUAUCAAAGCUGAAGUGUCUGCUCUUCAAACCAUCCUGGCGGCCUUUCACAAGCAUAGUUUCCUGGCUCAAGGCACGACCCAUUUCUGA